GACGAACGCUGGCGGCGUGCCUAAUACAUGCAAGUCGAACGCAAAACUUUCACCGAAUGCUUGCAUUCACGAAAGUUUUGAGUGGCGAACGGGUGAGUAACACGUGGGUAACCUGCCCAGAAGAGGGGGAUAACACUUGGAAACAGGUGCUAAUACCGCAUAAUAACAAAAACCGCAUGGUUUUUGUUUGAGAGAUGGUUUUGCUAUCACUUCUGGAUGGACCCGCGGCGUAUUAGCUAGUUGGUAAGGUAAAGGCUUACCAAGGCAAUGAUACGUAGCCGAACUGAGAGGUUGAUCGGCCACAUUGGGACUGAGACACGGCCCAAACGCCUACGGGAGGCAGCAGUAGGGAAUCUUCCACACUGGACGAAAGUCUGAUGGAGCAACGCCGCGUGAGUGAAGAAGGUUUUCGGAUCGUAAAACUCUGUUGUUAGAGAAGAACGUGUGUGAGAGUAACUGCUCAUGCAAUGACGGUAUCUAACCAGAAAGCCACGGCUAACUAUGUGCCAGCCGCCGCAGUAA
Molecule: ribosomal RNA, 522 nt
Filed under: uncultured bacterium
Lineage: Bacteria
Description: partial 16S ribosomal RNA
Rfam family: Bacterial small subunit ribosomal RNA
Source: RNAcentral